CACGUAGUUAGCCGGGGCUUCUUAGUCAGGUACCGUCAUUUUCUUCCCUGCUGAUAGAGCUUUACAUACCGAAAUACUUCUUCACUCACGCGGCGUCGCUGCAUCAGGGUUUCCCCCAUUGUGCAAUAUUCCCCACUGCUGCCUCCCGUAGGAGUUUGGGCCGUGUCUCAGUCCCAAUGUGGCCGUUUCACCCUCUCAGGCCGGCUACUGAUCGUCGCUUUGGUAGGCCGUUACCCUGCCAACUGGCUAAUCAGACGCGGGUCCAUCUCACACCGAUAAAUCUUUUCCGUCAGUAUCAUGCGAUACCAGCGGGUUAUGCGGUAUUAGCGGUCGUUUCCAACUGUUAUCCCCUGUGUGAGGCAGGUUACCCACGCGUUACUCACCCGUCCGCCACUCAGUCACAAAAGACUCAUCCGAAGAACUUCGUUCUUAAGUGUCUUCGUUCGACUUGCUAUGUUGUUAAGCACCGCCGCCAGUCGUUCACUCCUGACGUCCAGGUACUACGAAAACUUC
RNAcentral lists this ribosomal RNA (513 nucleotides) under uncultured Lachnospiraceae bacterium. RNAcentral describes it as "partial 16S ribosomal RNA". Lineage: Bacteria; Bacillati; Bacillota; Clostridia; Lachnospirales; Lachnospiraceae. The record is from RNAcentral.